RNAcentral lists this ribosomal RNA (316 nucleotides) under uncultured bacterium. RNAcentral describes it as "bacterial SSU rRNA". It matches the Rfam family "Bacterial small subunit ribosomal RNA", at positions 28 to 334 of the family's 1533-position model. The record is from RNAcentral.
GACGAACGCUGGCGGCGUGCCUAAUACAUGCAAGUAGAACGCUGAGGACUGGUGCUUGCACUGGUCUAAGGAGUUGCGAACGGGUGAGUAACGCGUAGGUAACCUACCUCAUAGCGGGGGAUAACUAUUGGAAACGAUAGCUAAUACCGCAUGACAAUAGGGUACACAUGUACCCUAUUUAAAAGGGGCAAAUGCUUCACUAUGAGAUGGACCUGCGUUGUAUUAGCUAGUUGGUAAGGUAACGGCUUACCAAGGCGACGAUACAUAGGGGGACUGAGAGGUUAACCCCCCACACUGGUACUGAGACACGGACCAG